This 402-nucleotide ribosomal RNA is filed under the name Oxyrrhis marina. RNAcentral's name for it is "partial Bacterial small subunit ribosomal RNA". It matches the Rfam family "Bacterial small subunit ribosomal RNA", at positions 540 to 944 of the family's 1533-position model. The record is from RNAcentral. Lineage: Eukaryota; Dinophyceae; Oxyrrhinales; Oxyrrhinaceae.
GUUAUCCGGAAUCAUUGGGUUUAAAGGGUCCGUAGGCGGGCAAUUAAGUCAGAGGUGAAAGUUUGCGGCUCAACCGUAAAAUUGCCUUUGAAACUGGUUGUCUUGAAUUAUUAUGAAGUGGUUAGAAUAAGUAGUGUAGCGGUGAAAUGCAUAGAUAUCACAUAGAACACCGAUCGCGAAGGCAGGUGACCAACCAUGUACUGACGCUGAUGGACGAAAGCGUGGGUAGCGAACGGGAUUAGAUACCCUGGUAGUCCACGCCGUAAACGAUGGAUACUAGCUGUGGGGACUUCGGUCUCCGUGGCCAAGCGAAAGUGAUAAGUAUCCCACCUGGGGAGUACGUUCGCAAGAAUGAAACUCAAAGGAAUUGACGGGGGUCCGCACAAGCGGUGGAGCAUGUGG